Lytechinus variegatus (green sea urchin) is the source of this 608-nucleotide long non-coding RNA. RefSeq lists it as uncharacterized. Lineage: Eukaryota; Metazoa; Echinodermata; Echinoidea; Temnopleuroida; Toxopneustidae. The record is from RefSeq and is a predicted model, not a curated record. The transcript is spliced from 3 exons.
CGUUCAUCCCUCCAACUCAGUGUAAAAAGUGGGCGGAGCUUAUUCGGAUUUUCGCGCCUAGCAACCUUGUUGACAACGACGAGCCGGAUCGUAUCAUUUUAUUCCGUUCCAAAAUGUCUGCGAUAUCAAAAUAAUUCACUCCAAGAAAUCGUUGAAUGUUAGCAAGUCAAUGAAUGCUCAUUAUUUUCGUUGACAAUCCGGGUAUCGUAAUAAACUGACUUUGGCAAGCAAAUGUUGAGCAGAGGAACCAUGCAACAUGUUCUAUCCAGUGGCCAAAUGCAAAAAGAAAGCUUUGCCAUCAGGCUAUUUAUGAGGCAAACUACAACCACAUAGCAUUGAUACCAAUUUUGGGAAAACAAAGGAGAUUGGACAGCUCUCAAUCCACUGAUUCUUGACUGCGUUCAUCAAGAUUACAAGAUCAUCACUAAAUCCUCGAAGAUUCCUGCUGAUGUUAUUCAUUUGAACAUGAAGGGACUCCCCACCCUGUUCGCCCAUCACGCCAAGUCCAGCAUGCCACAUUCUAAGCCAGGGAAUAAUGUGGCAUUCCAAUAUAUGCAUCUUGGGGGUGACAGUUGCCUUCGGGAACUCCUGGCGGAAGAACUGCAGGU